GAGCUCACUUUGCCAGCACAUAUAAUGAAACUGGAAUAAUAUGGAGAAGACUAGCAUGGCCACUGCAC
Molecule: small nuclear RNA, 68 nt
Organism: Mandrillus leucophaeus (drill)
Lineage: Eukaryota; Metazoa; Chordata; Mammalia; Primates; Cercopithecidae
Source: Ensembl